GGGGAUUUAGCUCAGUGGUUCCAGCACCUGCCUUCCAAGCAGGCAAGGGCCCAAGUUUGAUCCCCA
RNAcentral lists this transfer RNA (66 nucleotides) under Fukomys damarensis (Damara mole-rat). It matches the Rfam family "tRNA". From Rfam's summary of the family: Transfer RNA (tRNA) molecules are approximately 80 nucleotides in length. Their secondary structure includes four short double-helical elements and three loops (D, anti-codon, and T loops). Further hydrogen bonds mediate the characteristic L-shaped molecular structure. tRNAs have two regions of fundamental functional importance: the anti-codon, which is responsible for specific mRNA codon recognition, and the 3' end, to which the tRNAs corresponding amino acid is attached (by aminoacyl-tRNA synthetases). tRNAs cope with the degeneracy of the genetic code in two manners: having more than one tRNA (with a specific anti-codon) for a particular amino acid; and 'wobble' base-pairing, i.e. permitting non-standard base-pairing at the 3rd anti-codon position. The record is from Rfam by way of RNAcentral. Lineage: Eukaryota; Metazoa; Chordata; Mammalia; Rodentia; Bathyergidae.